This 1048-nucleotide ribosomal RNA is filed under the name Lyssomanes sp. UBC SEM W.Maddison d408. RNAcentral describes it as "eukaryotic LSU rRNA". It matches the Rfam family "Eukaryotic large subunit ribosomal RNA", at positions 100 to 868 of the family's 3401-position model. Lineage: Eukaryota; Metazoa; Arthropoda; Arachnida; Araneae; Salticidae. The record is from RNAcentral.
GGGAAGAGCCCAGCGCCGAAUCCCCGACCCCUGCGGUCGUGGGAAAUGUGGCGUUCAGGAGUGAGCGUGCCGGGACCGGACUGCGCAGCAAGUCCCCCUGACCGGGGCCUAUCCAGAGCGGGUGCGAGGCCCAUAGCCGCGCGGUCCGUCUCGGAUGCGAUCUCCUUGGAGUCGGGUUGCUUGGGAGUGCAGCCCCAAUCGGGUGGUAAACUCCACCUAAGGCUAAAUACCGCCGUGAGACCGAUAGCAAACAAGUACCGUGAGGGAAAGUUGCAAAGAACUUUGAAGAGAGAGUUCAAGAGUACGUGAAACUGCUCAGAGGUAAACGGGUGGGCCCUCGAAAUCCUGUGGCGAGAGGAUUCAGUCUGGUGCGGCGGACGCGACCGGUCGGAAGAGGCAGGGCUUCCCGAGACUGGGGCCGUCCGACCUCGCGUCAUCCGCCGCGCCCGACGCAUUUGACUCUCGCCCGAAGGACGCUGCAGCCGGUCGGGCAACCGUGCAAGCGUGACGGCCUGGAGGCCGGGGAGCCGCAGGUGGCCGGUGGCGCGCGCACCAGUGCGCGUCGCCGGUUGUUAGCAUCCCCGGCGGUGGCCCGUCGCCCGACCGAGGUGUCGACAGACCAGCUUUGGUCUCCACGUCUCCUCCCCCAGACGAAGCGGGACGGACGGCCGCUGGCGAGGAUCGCCGUUCUUGCCGCACUCGGAUCGAGUGGACGAGCGAACGGUCAGUGCCGCAGGCGGCCGCGGAGCCCGCGGGAGGGCAGGAGGCUGGCAGCGAGUGCGUCGGUCACCCACCCGACCCGUCUUGAAACACGGACCAAGGAGUCUAACAUGUGCGCGAGUCAAUGGGUCUUGAACAGGCCCAGGGGCGCAAUGAAAGCAAAGGUCGGCACCAGCCGACCGAGUUGGGAUCCCCUCCCCCCGGGGGGGGGCGCACCAACGUCCCGUCCCGCCCGGCUCGCCGGAGGGGCGGAGAUCGAGCGCACACGUUGGGACCCGAAAGAUGGUGAACUAUGCCCGGACAGGACGAAGCCAGAGGAAACUCUGGU